This 253-nucleotide ribosomal RNA is filed under the name uncultured bacterium. Its description in RNAcentral is "partial 16S ribosomal RNA". It matches the Rfam family "Bacterial small subunit ribosomal RNA", at positions 524 to 776 of the family's 1533-position model. The record is from RNAcentral.
UACAGAGGGGGCAAGCGUUGUUCGGAAUCACUGGGCGUAAAGCGCACGUAGGCGGCUUGCUAAGUCAGGGGUGAAAUCCUGGAGCUCAACUCCAGAACUGCCUUUGAUACUGGCGAUCUCGAGUCCGGGAGAGGUGAGUGGAACUGCGAGUGUAGAGGUGAAAUUCGUAGAUAUUCGCAAGAACACCAGUGGCGAAGGCGGCUCACUGGCCCGGUACUGACGCUGAGGCACGAAAGCGUGGGGAGCGAACAGG